RNAcentral lists this ribosomal RNA (423 nucleotides) under uncultured bacterium. RNAcentral describes it as "bacterial SSU rRNA". It matches the Rfam family "Bacterial small subunit ribosomal RNA", at positions 207 to 622 of the family's 1533-position model. The record is from RNAcentral.
AAGACCUUGCACUUUUGGAGCGGCCGAUGUCUGAUUAGCUAGUUGGUGGGGUAAAGGCCUACCAAAGCUUCGAUCAGUAGCUGGUCUGAGAGGACGGCCAGCCACACUGGGACUGAGACACGGCCCAGACUCCUACGGGAGGCAGCAGUGGGGAAUUUUGGACAAUGGGCGCAAGCCUGAUCCAGCCAUGCCGCGUGAGUGAAGAAGGCCUUCGGGUUGUAAAGCUCUUUCAGCCGGGAAGAAAAGGCUGCGACUAAUAAUCGCAGUUCAUGACGGUACCGGAAGAAGAAGCACCGGCUAACUACGUGCCAGCAGCCGCGGUAACACGUAGGGUGCGAGCGUUAAUCGGAAUUACUGGGCGUAAAGGGUGCGCAGGCGGUUUUGUAAGUCAGAUGUGAAAUCCCCGGGCUUAACCUGGGAACU